AUGUAAAUUUUUGUGUGAAUUUUUAUUUAUUUAAAUAAUAUAUAAUUUUUAUAAUAUUCUCAGUAAUUAAUUUUAUAAAUCAAGGAAACUUGGAAUUAGUAAUUCCUUAAAGUAUUGGCUAAAUUUGUGCCAGCAGCCGCGGUUAUACAAAUAAUACAAAUAAAAUGAGUUUAGUGUAAGUUAAAUUUUAUAUUUAUUAAAAUAUAUUUAAAUUUGUUAGGUGAAAUUUUAAAUUUAUAAAUUUUUAUUUAAAUAAUAUUGAAGCUUUUAAAUUUUAUUAAUAAACUAGGAUUAGAUACCCUAUUAUUUAAAAUGUAAAAAAUUAACAUUAAGGUAGUAUUAGUUAUGUUCUUUAAACUUAAAAAUUUUGGCGGUAUUUUAGUCUGUUCAGAGGAACCUGUCCUGUAAUUGAUAUUCCACGAUGCACCUUACUUAAAUUUGUUUUCAGCCUAUAUACCGUCGUUAUCAGAAUAUUUUAUUAGAAUAAUAAUUUUCAAUAAUUUUUAUUAAAAUUUAUAUCAGAUCAAGGUGUAGCUUAUAUUUAAGUAGAGAUGGGUUACAAUAAAAUUUAUUUAAUUGGAUUUAAAUUUGCAAUGUUUAAUAAAAUUGGAUUUGAUUGUAAAAUUUUAUAGAUUAAAAAUUUGAUUAUAGCUCUAAAAUAUGUACACAUCGCCCGUCACUCUUAUUAUUAAGGUAAGAUAAGUCGUAACAUAGUAGAUGUA
RNAcentral lists this ribosomal RNA (722 nucleotides) under Parastenopa sp. B HYH-2008. Its description in RNAcentral is "partial 12S ribosomal RNA". Lineage: Eukaryota; Metazoa; Arthropoda; Insecta; Diptera; Tephritidae. The record is from RNAcentral.